ACGCCUGCCCAGUGAACAAUUAAACGGCCGCGGUAUCCUAACCGUGCAAAGGUAGCAUAAUCAUUUGUCUACUAAUUAUAGACCUGUAUGAAAGGCAAAAUGAGGGUCCUACUGUCUCUUAUAAUUAAUCAAUUAAACUGAUCUACUAGUAAAAAAGCUAGAAUACCCACAUAAGACCAGAAGACCCUGUGAAGCUUAAACUAAACUAUUAAACCAAAUAAUAGCUACUUUCGGUUGGGGCGACCUUGGAAAAAAAAAGAACUUCCAACACUAUGAUCUCCAUCACACCACCAAAGGCCAACAAGCCAACAAAAGACCCAGCAAAGCUGAUAAAUGAACCAAGUUACUCCAGGGAUAACAGCGCAAUCUUCUUCAAGAGCCCAUAUCAAAAAGAAGGUUUACGACCUCGAUGUUGGAUCAGGACAUCCUAAUGGUGCAGCCGCUAUUAAGGGUUCGUUUGUUCAACGAUUAAUAGUCCUACGUGAUCUGA
Molecule: ribosomal RNA, 490 nt
Filed under: Lycodon paucifasciatus
Lineage: Eukaryota; Metazoa; Chordata; Lepidosauria; Squamata; Colubridae
Description: partial 16S ribosomal RNA
Rfam family: Bacterial large subunit ribosomal RNA
Source: RNAcentral